This 2741-nucleotide long non-coding RNA is filed under the name Sus scrofa (pig). Its description in RNAcentral is "lncRNA (ENSSSCG00060063996.1)". The record is from RNAcentral. Lineage: Eukaryota; Metazoa; Chordata; Mammalia; Artiodactyla; Suidae.
GGGGGCAGCUGGGUCAGGCUGGACCGGGGCACUUCCUAGCGUGAUGACCGCCUUCUCAUGCGGGGGACUCUUGCCAGAUUUUUGUUUUUUUUUUUUUUUUCCCACUUAUUGCAAAUUUGCGCUAUUUCUACUUUGCCACUCUUUGUUUGGCCACACCCGCAGCAUGCAAAAGGUCUCAGGCCAGGGAUCAAACCUGGGCCACAGCAGUGACCCAAGCCACUGCAGUGACAACACUGGCUCCUUACCCCGCUGAGCCGUGAGGGAGCUCCAGCUCGUGUAUUUAACACAACUUUUUUUUUUUUUUUUCUUUUGGCCACUACUUGUUAUGGCAACUUCGUGUUAUUUCUACUACAUGAGGGGAGAGGUUGCCUCUUUUGAAGCAUGGACUUUUUUUCCUACUCUUUUUUCUUAAGGAGGAUGGGGCUCCGUGUGGGAGGACAUCCCCUGUGACCACUGAGAUUUAUGUCUGUGGCUCUGAACCCAGCUCUGUGCUGUUCUUUAUUUGAUACAACAACCCAGUGUGUGGGGGGGACUGUGCCUACCCCCUGCUCACGAAGGAGACAAGCGGGGCCAGAGAGGGCAGGGGAUCUGCCCCAAGUCACUCAGCUUGCUCAGGGUAGAGCUGAGAUCUGAACCCACGUACAGGUGUUUGCUCCCAGAGCUGGUGCUCUUCCGUGUCACGGUCCACUUGACACGGAAGCCACGGCCCUGCCCACCCUCUGCGAGCCGCCUGAUCUCUCCUAGGGAUACUGAAAAGGCACAAAAGCUUGUCUGUGUUGUUGGAAGUAGUGAAAAGGUCAAAGCCGGUGCUCAGGUGAUGUGUUCAUGCUGGUUUCUACCAGAUUAUGAUUUCACUAAAUGUCACGUGUCCACAAGGGACAAAGGCCAUACCACUCCCAGCAGUUGAUGGUAUUUCCCAAAAGCAGUACUGGCAGCCUGUACGCUCUGUCCUGUACCUGCCAGCCCUGUGAUAAGGCAGCCCCACCUCUACUGCCAGGCUAGGGGUCAGAUUGGAGCUGUAGCCGCCGGCCUACGCCAGAGCCACACAGCAACGCUAUAUCCAAGCCUCAUCUGCCACCUACACCACAGCUCAUGGCAACACUGGAUCCUUGACCCUCUGAGCAAGGCCAGAGAUCGAACCCUUAACCUCAUGGUUCCUAGUCAGAUUCGUUUUUCCAUACGCCGCAAUGGGAACUCCUGUUUUUUCCCAUUUGGCUGGACCUGUGGCAUGCAGAAGUUCCCAGGCCAGGGUUUGAACCCAAGACAGACCGAACAGUGACAAUGCCGGGUCCUUAACCCACUGUGCCACCAGGGAGCUCCUCGGCAACCCUUUGGAAGGGACGCCAGAGGUGGAUCUUCGCCAAGAGAGAGAGAAAGGGAGGGCAGGGAGACGGCUUUUGCAGGAAGGUCCUCCUUCUCGGGGGUCCUCAACAGUGUCCUUGAACCCACUUUCUCUUUAUGGGACAGAAAUUGAUCUGCCUGGAACUGGGCCUCCCUUCGCCCCACCCUUGUGUCCAAAACACAGGAGGCCCGUUGCCGUGGCAGCCACAGUCUUGGAGGUUUGAGACCGCCUUCCGACUGGACACACCUUUCAUUUGUUCUUUGUUUUGAGAAAAGCCAAGUUCAUGUUUAACCUCUGCACGGUUAGAAGCAUAAUGAUCAAUGGCUCGUGUACCCAACACAGAGGUCCAGGACGGGUACCUUUGAAGACCUUGGCAAGACCCUCCCCAAAUGCCUACUCUUUUCCUCCCCCAGAGAGACUCCUCAUGCUCCAAUUUGCAUUAAUCUUUCCCUGGCUUUUCUUUGCCAUUUAAUCCUCUGUGCACCCAGCUCCAGACGGAUCAGCGGCUGAUUCCAUUGCAUAAGUGACUCACCUCUCUGCCGGGCCUCCGGGCCAGUUCCUCUCUCCACUAACUCUGUUGGGUGAGCUCAAUGGAGCCCCCGGGCCGAGAUGGGUCACUCCCAGCAAGGGCGGCCAGCUCUUUCUCUUUUCCCCGACCUCAGACAGCGACCCUCAUCCAAACUAGCCAUCUUGGGUCCUAAGGAUAUAGUCCAGGAAGGCUCCCUGGAGCAGAGAGAGCUGGGAAGGCGUUGGGUAGAUGGAAAGGAGAAGAAGGGAAUUUCUGGAAGAGGAAGCCAUGCAAACCAAAGCACAGACCAGAGUUCCCGCUAUAGGCCAGGCAUUGCUACAGCUGCAGGGUAGGUUGCAGCGCAGCUGGGAUCUGAUCCCUGGCCCAGGAACUUCGGAGGCUGCAGGAUGGCCAAAAAAUAAUAAAAUAAAAUAUAAAAUAAAACAAAACAGAAACAAAAUAGAAACAAAGCACAGAGUUACCUUGAAAGCAAGUUCAUAGCAAGGCCAUUCAGGGCUUCUGUUGGGAGACAGUGGGGGCGGGGCGGACACGCUAAGCUUGGGAGGCCAGGGUGGGAAUGAACUUGCCCUGGGCAGUGGGGGAGGAGGGGGCUGACUUAAUCCAUGAAAAAUGGCACAUGCUUCCUCGAGUUGGUGCAGAAUUGCCUCAAAUUUGUCAGGCUAAGCGAUGGUAAAGCAAGGACAGUCCUACAGUCUUACUUCUCACCCAUGCAAAGUUCACGGCAUUUGGUAGCUCUCAAGAAAAACUGCCCUCUGGGCAAUGAUGUAAUGAUUCAGCCUGUGGGAGCUUCCUGUGUCUCCGAGCGGCUACUGGCAAACUACAGCCCCCGGGCUGCCUCCUGUUUUUGUAAAUAAAGGUUUAUUGGGACAU